RNAcentral lists this long non-coding RNA (552 nucleotides) under Monodelphis domestica (gray short-tailed opossum). RNAcentral describes it as "lncRNA (ENSMODG00000035981.2)". Lineage: Eukaryota; Metazoa; Chordata; Mammalia; Didelphimorphia; Didelphidae. The record is from RNAcentral.
ACCAGAGGAUGUGGGUGGCUCUGAGAGGAGCGGGAGCAGCAUCUGAAGUGAGAAGGGUUUCAGAUCAAGAACAAUGGAAAAAAUCGUUCCAGAUGUGCAGGAAAACUUGGAAUCCAGCCAGAUCCACCCAGCCCAGCAAUAAUCAGAUAAAGGGAAGGAAGAGAAAGGGAGGAGACUGGAGAGUGGAGGGUUCAGAGAAAUAUAGAAACACAGAGGAACAGCAUCAGAGACAGACAGAAAGACUGAGACAGAGACAGAGAGCAAAGGAAGAAAGGACGAGGGGAGUAAUCGGCAACCUGGCCACACUCUGCCUUGGGAAAAUCUCACCAUAUUGGUACCAGACUUUGUUUGGAUGUCCAAUAAGCAUAGCCCACUGAAGAGAAGAAUUCCUGAACACAAAGCAUCCGUCAGUCAGUCUUAGCUUUCUCAGGAGCUAAGAUUACAGGCAUGGACUGUCACAUCCACCAGUAGGCUCUCUACAUUAUGCCUCAUUCAAAAGGAAGAGAAGGUAAGUCUAGGUAACAGUUUAUCUAGAAGACAUAAAUAACAUUC